Oryzias melastigma (Indian medaka) is the source of this 202-nucleotide long non-coding RNA. RefSeq lists it as uncharacterized. The record is from RefSeq and is a predicted model, not a curated record. The transcript has 3 exons. Lineage: Eukaryota; Metazoa; Chordata; Actinopteri; Beloniformes; Adrianichthyidae.
ACUUCUGAACCUCAAGCUGGCUCUGGACAUGGAGAUCGCCACCUAUCGGGAGCUUCUGAAGAACGAGGAGGAGAGCUUAGAGAACUCCACCAUAGAUGUCUCAAGACAAACCAACCAAAUCCGAGUCAUUAGUUAUACAGAAACAUCUAUUGACGUCACCAUGACUGGUGUGAAGGCAGCAUUGGAUACCACCUUCUAGAAG